AACGAACGCUGGCGGCAGGCCUAACACAUGCAAGUCGAGCGCGCCCUUCGGGGUGAGCGGCGGACGGGUGAGUAACGCGUGGGAACGUGCCCUUUUCUACGGAAUAGCCUCGGGAAACUGAGAGUAAUACCGUAUACGCCCUUUGGGGGAAAGAUUUAUCGGAAAAGGAUCGGCCCGCGUUGGAUUAGGUAGUUGGUGGGGUAAUGGCCUACCAAGCCGACGAUCCAUAGCUGGUUUGAGAGGAUGAUCAGCCACACUGGGACUGAGACACGGCCCAGACUCCUACGGGAGGCAGCAGUGGGGAAUCUUAGACAAUGGGGGCAACCCUGAUAUAGCCAUGCCGCGUGAGUGAUGAAGGCCUUAGGGUUGUAAAGCUCUUUCAGCUGGGAAGAUAAUGACGGUACCAGCAGAAGAAGCCCCGGCUAACUCCGUG
This 433-nucleotide ribosomal RNA is filed under the name uncultured bacterium. Its description in RNAcentral is "partial 16S ribosomal RNA". It matches the Rfam family "Bacterial small subunit ribosomal RNA", at positions 29 to 507 of the family's 1533-position model. The record is from RNAcentral.